UGUGUUCCAGAGAUAAUGAGUGUGUCUGGGUCUCGAAUGUGGGCAGCAUCAUCCAGUAGGCUGGGGGCCCAGAUGGAACACAGAAUGGAAAAAGGAGGAAGGGUACAUGUUCCACUCUUCUUGAAUGGGUACAACUUUUGCUGCUACCAUCACCCCUAGAUUCUUCAGCCUUGGACUGGGGCUGCGUCACUGGUCCUUCUUAUUCUGAGGUUUUCAGAUUCUUGGGCUGAGCAGCUACUGGCUUUCUAGGCUCUGCAAUCUGAAGAUGCCAUUGUGGGACUAUCUAGCAUCCUGUCAUGGAGAAGACAAAAACAGUACAGAAGAAACAAGUUGAGAGCAAUAGAGGCAUUUAACAUGAUGUAGCUGAUGCUGUCAUGGAUUUCACUAGAGAUGAUGCUCAGAAACUCUACCUUCUUCAUUCUGUCCACCUUCUUUUCUGGAAAAGAAGAAAUACUAUUUGGAAGGAGAAACAAAGGCGGCUCUCCCUGCUGGAUUCAUCUCUGCCCAGGCUAGCUAAAAAACAGAACACAGUUGCUAACUUCUCCUCUCUCUGUGAAACUGGCAACUGCAACUUUUUAUUUUUUGGAUUUUUUUAAUGAGAUCACGUUGAAGCAAAUGCAGUUCAUGUUUUAAGGGCAGAUGUUCUGGAAGUGACACAGCUGUUCAGCUCACCGUUGGAUGAAGAGCAGCAGAUCCAAAUCAAGCCUGUGCUCCCAGGGUCCUGCAUGUGAAGUGACUCUUUUAAUGGACCAAUUUGCUUGAAGGGUUGUGAAUCAUUCCCUCAGUCUAGGUAAUGUGUCCUGUCUUAAAAUCCAGGCUGGUCCAGAAGAGAUCACGUAAUGAAAAGGGCGUAGGUCACUUGGCCAUGAAGGAACAGUUCUGUGGCUCAACUGGCAUGUAAGAUUCCUGCAGAUGGAAAUCAGUACCUGUAUCUAUCUCUGUACCUGGGUAAAGCAGCUGCCUGGGCCGAAACUCAGGUAAAAUGGGCUAUGGUACUGGUCCUGCUGUCUCCUAGCACUGUGACCUCUAGCAAGUCACCUUGUAAUUCUAACCAUAGGGAUUCUUCUUGUUGUAAUAUGGGCAAAGCAGUUUAAUUUGUAGGCUGAGUGUAAGAAUACUGAUGUUUGUGAAAGCAGAAAAGUAUAUACAAGUGUAGGACAUUAUUCUUUAAAAUGUAUGUCACACAAUCAAGCCGGUAGUAUUUAUCAGUAGGUACAAAGAGAUAGACAAACUUAUGGUACUCAUAAAAACAACCUCAUGUAUUUGAAUUAAAAGUAGUUAAUUAAACAACUACUGGGGGAAAAUUCAGAUUUUCAUAGUGAGUAGGCCAGGUUAAGAAUUUUUAUUUUGUCAUGUAUUUUUACACUGACAAUACAGAAACUGUUGUGAAACUCUAAAUUUAGUUUCCUUUCUAUAAGAAGUGUUUUGGUUUUGAUGCCUUAAAAUACAUCUAAGAAAACAUGAAAAAAAGAGAAUGUUAGCAUGAACAUAUUUUUGAUAAUCUAUAAUGGCUUAAUCUGGAACUUUAUGAGCAGAGCAUAUAUUAUCAAAAAUGUAAAUUAAAUAAUGCAAUUGGAAGAUUUGAAUGCCAAGGUUAAAGCUACUUAUUACUGUACCAUGAUACACAACACAAUUUUUCUAAUUUUAAAUAAA
Molecule: long non-coding RNA, 1653 nt
Organism: Heterocephalus glaber (naked mole-rat)
Lineage: Eukaryota; Metazoa; Chordata; Mammalia; Rodentia; Bathyergidae
Source: RefSeq, a predicted model, not a curated record